RNAcentral lists this unclassified non-coding RNA (239 nucleotides) under Hevea brasiliensis (rubber tree). Lineage: Eukaryota; Viridiplantae; Streptophyta; Magnoliopsida; Malpighiales; Euphorbiaceae. The record is from RNAcentral.
GUGGUCUUUUAGUGAAGUGCUUCAUGGGCUUGCGCAGCAAAAUUUUUGAGAAGUAUGUGCAGAAUUGGAUUGCAAUUGCUGCGCCAUUCCAGGGUGCACCUGGAUAUGUUACAUCAACCUUUGUGAGUGGAAUGUCAUUUGUUAGUGGAUGGAGACAGAACUUCUUCAUAUCAAAGUGGAGCAUGCACCAACUGCUUAUUGAAUGCCCAUCCAUUUACGAACUAAUGGGCUCUCCAGAC